CAAUAUAGAACGGCGACUAAAAGCGCCACGUCGUUAUGUCUUCGUCGCCAUGACCCACAUCGUGUGGG
RNAcentral lists this small RNA (68 nucleotides) under Bacillus sp. CECT 9360. Its description in RNAcentral is "Bacillaceae-1". It matches the Rfam family "Bacillaceae-1 RNA". Lineage: Bacteria; Bacillati; Bacillota; Bacilli; Caryophanales; Bacillaceae. The record is from RNAcentral.